AGUCGGAUCAGCUACGUUGUGGGUUCCUGGCUCUUGAAGGACGCCAGGGUUCGGGCUUGCUGCUGCCGCCACCACCACCAAAACGGUCAGAAUCCUGAGGUGAAGCCCUGCUGCCACUAGUCCAGCGUUCAGAUUGCGAUGGAGGGGCCCUGCUGGCGGCAGUCCAUCGAUCAGAUUCUGAGGGUGCAGGCCUGACCCAGCGAUCAGGUUCUGAAGGCAGAGCUGAACCAGAGCUUUCAAGUCUUUCACGCCGGAACUUAGGUACAUAUUUCCCAGGAGAUG
Molecule: long non-coding RNA, 282 nt
Filed under: Durio zibethinus
Lineage: Eukaryota; Viridiplantae; Streptophyta; Magnoliopsida; Malvales; Malvaceae
Description: long non-coding RNA (DZIB_LNC002368)
Source: RNAcentral